UACGUAGGUGGCAAGCGUUGUCCGGAUUUACUGGGCGUAAAGAGCGCGCAGGCGGUCGGAUCAGUCGAAUGUGAAAGCCCCCGGCUCAACUGGGGAGGGUCAUUCGAUACUGUCCGACUCGAAGGCAGGAGAGGGAAGCGGAAUUCCCGGUGUAGUGGUGAAAUGCGUAGAUAUCGGGAGGAACAUCAGUGGCGAAGGCGGCUUUCUGGCCUGUUCUUGACGCUGAGGCGCGAAAGCUAGGGGAGCGAACGGG
This 253-nucleotide ribosomal RNA is filed under the name uncultured bacterium. Its description in RNAcentral is "partial 16S ribosomal RNA". It matches the Rfam family "Bacterial small subunit ribosomal RNA", at positions 524 to 776 of the family's 1533-position model. The record is from RNAcentral.